Long non-coding RNA from Danio aesculapii, 520 nucleotides. RefSeq lists it as uncharacterized. The record is from RefSeq and is a predicted model, not a curated record. Lineage: Eukaryota; Metazoa; Chordata; Actinopteri; Cypriniformes; Danionidae. The transcript is spliced from 4 exons.
GCUUCAGGUGUUUGUUUGACAACAAGGAGCGCGUGAUGACAGACACCAAAACAAAACACGUGCAGUUUGAUUUAAAUACACAAUUUACAGAUGACAGCUUAGCGACAGACUCUUAAUGUGUUUAAACAGCACAUAUUCCAGCUCAACAGCAAAUUAAACAAGUGGAAUCUGCGAUAAAGAGGAGGAAUGGAGUGAAGAGACUCACCUAAUGAAGGUUGUGCUUGGACUGUACAGCCAACAGAAUCAGAGCUCUGGACAUUUGACAGCCAUGGACUGUAAGGAUGGACAUCUGCUGCUGGACAGAAUAAGGGAUGUGUUUGGAGCAUCACACUCAUCCGGCAGAAGCAUGUGGACAGACAUUGACAGUAAUGAUGGUCAUCUGCUGAUGGACAGAUAUGACUGAAUCUUUCUCUGUGUCUCAGAUGAGGAGGAUGUGAAGCUCAGGACGGGUCAUCAUAUCAACACAUCAAUCUACAGACAAACAUCACAUUUGAAUAAAGAUUUAAUGAUGAAAACCUGA